RNAcentral lists this unclassified non-coding RNA (269 nucleotides) under fungal sp. RNAcentral describes it as "partial contains 5.8S ribosomal RNA, internal transcribed spacer 2, and large subunit ribosomal RNA". The record is from RNAcentral. Lineage: Eukaryota; Fungi.
CGCACAUUGCGCCCCCUGGUAUUCCGGGGGGUAUGCCUGUUCGAGCGUGAUUAAUGACCAAUCAAGCACCGCUUGGCAAUUGGGCGCGCGUCCCCGGAUCAAACCCCCGAGUGGGGCCGGUGACACCCCCUAAACCCCUGAGCGAUGGCCCCCACCGCCGGCGUAUCAGUCUCUUGACGCCUCGGGCGGACCGGGUGGCCCUCCGCUGCCAGAAACCCCACUUCUCAAUGGUUUACCUCGAAUCAGGUAGGGAUACCCGCUGAACUUAA